Molecule: unclassified non-coding RNA, 173 nt
Filed under: uncultured fungus
Lineage: Eukaryota; Fungi
Description: sequence contains ITS1
Source: RNAcentral
GUAAUAAUUUAAUAUUGUCUGACGUUACGGCUAUUGCAAAAGGUUUUGGGGGGCUUCUAUCGGCGGGAGACCGCCGAGAGAGCAACGACGAUACGUGUAAACAGGGUAUACUCUGGGGCCGGAGCCGCCAAAAGCGUUUUGUAAUGAUCCUUCCGCAGGUUCACCUACGGAAA